RNAcentral lists this ribosomal RNA (467 nucleotides) under uncultured bacterium. RNAcentral describes it as "partial 16S ribosomal RNA". It matches the Rfam family "Bacterial small subunit ribosomal RNA", at positions 28 to 507 of the family's 1533-position model. The record is from RNAcentral.
GACGAACGCUGGCGGCGUGCUUAACACAUGCAAGUCGAACGGAAAGGCCCUGCUUUUGUGGGGUGCUCGAGUGGCGAACGGGUGAGUAACACGUGAGUAACCUGCCCUUGACUUUGGGAUAACUUCAGGAAACUGGGGCUAAUACCGGAUAGGAGCUCCUGCUGCAUGGUGGGGGUUGGAAAGUUUCGGCGGUUGGGGAUGGACUCGCGGCUUAUCAGCUUGUUGGUGGGGUAGUGGCUUACCAAGGCUUUGACGGGUAGCCGGCCUGAGAGGGUGACCGGCACCAUUGGAAUGAGGAAAGGGCCCGGAUGCCAACGGGAGGAAGCGGUGGGGAAUAUUCCACAAUGGGCGGAGGCCUGAUGCAGCAACGCCGGGUGGGGAAUGACGGCCUUCGGGUGGUAACCCACUUCGCCUGUGACGAAGCGUGAGUGACGGUAAUGGGUAAAGAAGCACCGGCUAACUACGUG